Molecule: ribosomal RNA, 705 nt
Filed under: Triticum aestivum (bread wheat)
Lineage: Eukaryota; Viridiplantae; Streptophyta; Magnoliopsida; Poales; Poaceae
Description: partial small subunit ribosomal RNA
Source: RNAcentral
AUGAGUUUGCAAAUCUUGAACACUUCUCAAACUAGACUGACCAUUAUAAUUUGCAGGACAAGGGCUCUGCAUGCGCGUGAGGCUUCGUCCGGAUUGGCCCUGGUCAACUCUGCGAUUGACCCAGAGGUGUCUGAUCCUUGCAUUGCUGUGGGGAACCAGGCCAGACAGUCUCCUCUGCAGCCCACAAAUGAAGCCCGGAGCUCUUUGGGCCGGCCACUUCUGCAACCCACAAGUGAGGCCCAAGGCUCCCUAGCCCCAGCGAUGGAGGACCUCAUUUCCUUUGGGCCUCCUGAGAUCGCUACAUCCCUUGAAGAGAUCCAGCUGCAGUGCUUCGUCAACUCGUUCACCUCGCUCUGCCCCACCCCUGUGCUGCCAACGCCGCCGCCAACACCACUGCCACAGAAACACACCCUCACCGACGACCAGCGCCAGAGUGGGCGCCUUGCCGGCAAGCCCAACUACAGACUCAACUCACUAACAAAGGCACAAUCCGUGCUCCUCAAGAAGAAUGGCCAGCUCCCCAAUGAUGAAUCACCGACAACCGAGGCCGAUCUGCAGAAAUACAAGGACCUGUACAAGCGCCCAGUCAGCUCAGAGUUCAUCGCAGCGGUCACCUCCCUCGUCUCCUCCACCGGCAAGCCCAGUAGUUGCGCCGCUGCAAGCAAGGCACCGCGGGCAUCGGCCCCUGGACCUGCGGUACAGUGA